Molecule: long non-coding RNA, 857 nt
Organism: Triplophysa dalaica
Lineage: Eukaryota; Metazoa; Chordata; Actinopteri; Cypriniformes; Nemacheilidae
Exons: 3
Source: RefSeq, a predicted model, not a curated record
UCCCUCUCAGGCACUCACGAUAACCACAGGCCACAGCCAUGCUAAUGAUAAAGGUGUUGCAGAUGCUAACUACAGUUCAUGAAGCAAGGACACAGGAAAGUAAGAUAAGGCCUGUAAUUGGCCAGAUCUACAGAAUGGAGGAGAAAGAGGGACUGGCACUGCAGGUGUGUGUGUGCGCGUAUCUGGACGGGACUACGCCACGAGAUACAGGAAGUGAUUGACACAGCAAGAUGCGUGUGUGGGUGCGUUACACUGACCACUUGCACACGAAUACAGAGAAGACCACCCAUCAAUCCGUCUGACCAACCGCCACACACAUGCAAACCUCGAGGUCAUCGGAGCUUCCAGACACGAAUGCAGUAAACGUUGCCUAUCCACCACACGCCGCCCUGCGCUGGUUCAGAGGUACCAUUCCAAACCUAACAUGGAAAAUCACACUGUGGCUAUGGGACCAAAAAGCGAAGCUAAUUCAGGAUAGAGGAUGUGCUUAUUCUACAAGCCUGUUUCAUGUCCAAUCAAGCCCACCUCGGAGAGUGUGACCCAAACAUAAACAUUUAUUCUGUAUUUAGCUCUCUUUCUCAGUUAUUAUUUCUCAUUAAGAGUCUCUGAAUCAGACCGCUGCUCAAACCAAAACAAACAGGCUUUUAAAUAUGUCUCUUUUGGGUUUCAACUGUGUACACACACUAAAAUGGUUGUUAGAAUAAAAGAUGCCUUUAUCUCCCAUUGAAAAAACUGUUUAAGUAGUGGAAAACGGUAACCUGAUGAACUACUCCUAUAAACCAUUUUGAAAGGUGUGAACUUAAAUUUAAGAAGUACUUCCUGUCUCAGUAUUUUACACAUUACACAAACGUUUGAAC